CAGAAAAGAAAAUAAUCUAUUGAAUGUGAGGCGCUGUAAAGACACUGAUUUGAGUCUGGCAGAAGAAGGUUAUGAACAUAGGAACCUGACAACAGGGCCUGACAACCUGGUGCUGAAGAUACACACAGUAUGUGGGAAGGCACAAAGUUGCAUUUUGCACUCUCUGCCCUGGGAAGCUGCAGGAAUCCUUGAGAUGUGGACAAUCUGUGAAUUCUUCUAUUACUGUUGUCAGAACCAUGAACAGUUUUUGACUCUUCAGUUUUCUCACCCUACAGGUGAGAUAAAAGGCAGGCCUUUUCCCUGUGUCUCCCAAAGCCAUGCAACACAAGAGCUGUGAUGGCAGUUUAUUUUACCUUUAGUCCUUAAUCUGCAUAAA
Long non-coding RNA from Passer domesticus (house sparrow), 376 nucleotides. RefSeq lists it as uncharacterized. The transcript is spliced from 3 exons. NCBI's taxonomy places the organism in Eukaryota, Metazoa, Chordata, Aves, Passeriformes, Passeridae. The record is from RefSeq and is a predicted model, not a curated record.